UUUGGCUUUUCAGUCUAUAUAGAGAAAUUAUGUUUUUACUUGUAAUUUCUUGGUGGGACACGUGCGGAUACACCUAAACUAGAAAAUAUCUCAUCAUCAUAUCAAACAGGAAAGGACAGAAAUCUCUUUUGAUAUUCCUUAUCAACUUUAUGUUUUUUUCUUUUAUUUUAUAAAUUUCUUGGCCACCAUUUCCUCAAAAUCUUGAAUUAAUAGAAACCCUCUUUUUUUUUUUUUUUUUACUGGAAUUUCUCUUAUGCUGUGUAGAUACUGUAAAUUUCAUGACUUUGUUCUCAGUAUUAAGUAUAAAGUAUUGGGAAGUAACUGUAGGUAAACAUUUCAAAAUAUAUUAUUUUGGAAUGUUCACUUGUGUUGUGAUUUAUGACUGAUAUUAAAGGUCAGAUCAUCAUUCUGAUUGUGUCCUUCACAUCUUGAUGUAUUGAUGAUUGAGUUCAAAAUGACAGUAAAUCAAUUAUAUUUGCUUUACAAAAACCAUUUUAAUUAAUGGGACAUUUGAAAUGUAGUUUUGGGAACAAUUUUGUGUAUUAACUGGCAGAGUCACAUGAACAGAAACAUAAACUUUAUGACCUGGAGUGUUAGGAAAUAAUAUAUCUCUACAUUCCAGCGCUAUAUGCACCUUUUUCUAUCAAAAAACUAUGUCCGAGUAGUCCAGAAGUCUAAGUAGAUGAACUACUGUUUCACUCUCUUGUCAGCACUGAGGUUAUGAGUUUGAAUCCAACAUGUGGCAAGUGAGCUCAA
RNAcentral lists this long non-coding RNA (756 nucleotides) under Mytilus galloprovincialis (Mediterranean mussel). The record is from RNAcentral. Lineage: Eukaryota; Metazoa; Mollusca; Bivalvia; Mytilida; Mytilidae.